AGCAGCGCGUCCGCAAAAGCAGGGCAGACGUCGCGGAUGGUCUCGUCAAACGGGGUCACAGACGCCGCGUCGCCCGUCAUGAGCCAGCGCGCGCCGGCAUCGGUCAGCGGCCGGGCGAUGCUAAAGUCGGUGGCAAGCACCUGAUCGAUGGCGUGCAGUGGGAGCGACCAGUCACGCAGGGCCUCGGCGACGGCAUCGCGCACGCGCGUCCGAUCCUCGCGCACCAACGCCACCAUGGUGCCGUGCAGAUCGAGUUUGUCGUCGGCAUUCGCCUCGGCCUUGGUCGCCUCGGCCUCGAUCGACAUGGCGAGGUCGAUCAGGCGAUCACGCAGGGUCAUGUAGUCGUUGACCGACUGCGGCGAGGCACCCGCAGAGCCCGAAGAAGCGCCCAUGGGCAUCAGCGGGGCGAUCACGUUGGCGCGGCCGAGAAGAUGGCGGAUGCUCGUCUGGGCAAAAAGGACGUCAGACAAGUAGACGGCGAGGAUCGACUCGGCGCGGUCGAGCGCGGCGUCCUUGGCCAGCGACGCGUAGCAGCGGUCGACGGCGUGACACGCUCCGACCGCAUCGAUUGCCGGCCACAUGCGCACGACCUCGACCAACGUGGGCUCUGCGCCCGCCGACGGCGACAAUCCGAUGAGUUCCAUGAAGCGAUCGGCGUCGCUCGGGGCUACGGCCCGCGGCAGGUCCACCUCGAUCGCAGACGCACAUUUCCAGACAAACACCCUGUCGGUGAGCGCCUUGACCGCGCAUUCGGCAAGGCAGCCGGCGCGGUAGACGUUGAAGCGCUCCAGCGGGACGUCAAAGGUCUUGAGCACAUCGCCGGCGGGCGACAACAGCCUCACCUUGACGGUGUGCGUCGUGGCGUCGACAGGCAGCGGAGCGGUCAUGGUCAGAGGCUAGCGGGGCAAAGGCACGGAUGCGGCGGUGGCGGUGGUGGUCGAAAGUAGUAUCCGAUGCUCUAGGCUCGGUGACUGCGGGGGAUACAUUUUUGAAGCCCUGCUGCGCCUUUUUUAUACUCGGUGGCGCCUACGCCUGAAGCCAACCACGUCGUCCGUGGCUGGCGGGACGCUCUUUUUUUUCGCCACAAAAAAAUCAACCUAUCCAAUAGAGAGCACGGCCUGGGUUUGGGCCGCGGAAGAAAAAAACCCGAGCAGCGCCAGAGGGCGGUCCCCCCAUGCAUGGACCGCUCUCUGGGGCCGCAACACAAAAAUACCGUCCGACUUUUUGUCCGAUGUCGUGCGCCAAAGAGCACAGCGAUGCUUUCCGCCCGUGGCAAAUACAGAAUUCUUUUUUUUUUAUUGAGAAAAAAUCCCCACAAGAAAAAAGAAAAAGGAU
This 1335-nucleotide long non-coding RNA is filed under the name Pandoravirus dulcis. Its description in RNAcentral is "putative ncRNA". The record is from RNAcentral.